CAAAAUGCAGGGAACGGAAGAGUAAUCUUAAGUGGGUCAAGAGAUCUGGCGGUUGGUGCGAGCCAGACGAAGCAAGCGAUGAAGAUGGUCCGGGAGCAGUUAUUCUGAACACGUCUAGGAAUAAACGUUCAUCCGCGUUAAGGAUUUGAGCGCAUACGCAAGUAUGAAUAAAGGUGGUACCGCGAGCAAAUCGUCCUUUAC
RNAcentral lists this non-coding RNA (201 nucleotides) under Clostridiales bacterium. RNAcentral's name for it is "T-box sequence". It matches the Rfam family "T-box leader". Rfam says of the family: Uncharged tRNA acts as the effector for transcription antitermination of genes in the T-box leader family. The record is from RNAcentral. Lineage: Bacteria; Bacillati; Bacillota; Clostridia; Eubacteriales.